Molecule: ribosomal RNA, 587 nt
Filed under: uncultured bacterium
Lineage: Bacteria
Description: partial 16S ribosomal RNA
Rfam family: Bacterial small subunit ribosomal RNA
Source: RNAcentral
UGGGGAAUAUUGGACAAUGGGCGCAAGCCUGAUCCAGCAAUGCCGCGUGUGUGAAGAAGGCCUUCGGGUUGUAAAGCACUUUUAUCAGGAGCGAAACGCUGUCGGCUAAUACCCGGCGGAACUGACGGUACCUGAGGAAUAAGCACCGGCUAACUUCGUGCCAGCAGCCGCGGUAAUACGAAGGGUGCAAGCGUUAAUCGGAAUUACUGGGCGUAAAGCGUGCGUAGGCGGUUUCUUAAGUCUGCUGUGAAAUCCCCGGGCUCAACCUGGGAAUGGCAGUGGAUACUGGGAGGCUAGAGUGUGUCAGAGGGUGGUGGAAUUCCCGGUGUAGCGGUGAAAUGCGUAGAGUCGGGAGGAACAUCAGUGGCGAAGGCGGCCACCUGGGACAACACUGACGCUGAGGCACGAAAGCGUGGGGAGCAAACAGGAUUAGAUACCCUGGUAGUCCACGCCCUAAAACGAUGCGAACUGGAUGUUGGUCUCAACUCGGAGAUCAGUGUCGAAGCUAACGCGUUAAGUUCGCCGCCUGGGGAGUACGGUCGUAAGACUGAAACUUAAAUGAAUUGACGGGGUCAUAGCUGUUUCCU